CGGGGUGUAGCGCAGUUGGCAGCGCACUGCGUUUGGGACGCAGGGGUCGGCGGUUCAAGUCCGCCCACCCCGA
RNAcentral lists this transfer RNA (73 nucleotides) under Anaerolineaceae bacterium. RNAcentral's name for it is "tRNA-Pro". It matches the Rfam family "tRNA". From Rfam's summary of the family: Transfer RNA (tRNA) molecules are approximately 80 nucleotides in length. Lineage: Bacteria; Bacillati; Chloroflexota; Anaerolineae; Anaerolineales; Anaerolineaceae. The record is from RNAcentral. RNAcentral also lists the same sequence under 2 other names.